CUUUCGACGACGGAUACCUCGGUUCCCACGCCGAUGAAGAGCGCGGCGAAACGCGAUAUGUCGUGCGAAUCGCAGAAUUCGGCGAAUCACGCAAUCCUCGAACGCAUCCGGCGCUCUCGGGUCUUCCCGGGAGCAUGCCCGUC
Molecule: ribosomal RNA, 143 nt
Filed under: Vermamoeba vermiformis
Lineage: Eukaryota; Tubulinea; Echinamoebida; Vermamoebidae
Description: 5.8S ribosomal RNA
Rfam family: 5.8S ribosomal RNA
About the family: 5.8S ribosomal RNA (5.8S rRNA) is a component of the large subunit of the eukaryotic ribosome. It is transcribed by RNA polymerase I as part of the 45S precursor that also contains 18S and 28S rRNA.
Source: RNAcentral